AAACGAAUUUCUCAACGCAGCGAAGG
RNAcentral lists this non-coding RNA (26 nucleotides) under Cricetulus griseus (Chinese hamster). Lineage: Eukaryota; Metazoa; Chordata; Mammalia; Rodentia; Cricetidae. The record is from RNAcentral.